Molecule: ribosomal RNA, 253 nt
Filed under: uncultured bacterium
Lineage: Bacteria
Description: partial 16S ribosomal RNA
Rfam family: Bacterial small subunit ribosomal RNA
Source: RNAcentral
UACAGAGGGUGCAAGCGUUGUUCGGAAUCAUUGGGCGUAAAGGGCGCGUAGGCGGCCUUGUAAGUCGGAUGUGAAAGCCCAGGGCUCAACCUUGGAAGUGCAUCCGAAACUGCGAGGCUCGAAUCUCGGAGAGGGUGGUGGAAUUCCCAGUGUAGAGGUGAAAUUCGUAGAUAUUGGGAGGAACACCAGUGGCGAAGGCGACCACCUGGACGAAGAUUGACGCUGAGGCGCGAAAGCGUGGGGAGCAAACAGG